UUCUUUUUCUGUGCUGGGUCUUUGUUGUUGCAGGUGGACUGUCUCUGGUUGCAGAGAGCUAGGGCUUCUCUUCACUGUGGUGCCACAGCUUCUCAUUGCAGUAGCUUUUCCUGUUGCAGAGCACAGGCUCUAGAGCCAGGGGGCUCAGUAGUGUGGCUCUUGAGGGCUUAUUUGCCCUUGGGUAUGUGGAAUAUUCUCAGACCAUGGAUUGAACCUGUGACAGGCAGAUUCUUAACUGUUGGACCACCAGGGAAGUUCUAGGUUUCUUUUUGUGUGAGAAAACCUCCCACUAAUGUUUAAUUUUAGUGUUUUAUAUUGACUCUAUCAGAAGUCCUUCCCUUAUUUGCAGGAAGGUAAAGUGUGAUUCUCAGUUUUCUUCAGUUGAGACUUAAAUUGAGGUUUAAUAAUAAAAGGUGAGUGGAAUGGUGCCUGAGGAGGUAAGAACAAAAGCACAUUGAGAGGAAGGAGGGAUGACAGACUCAGUUCUAGAGGACCCAAUGGGAUUUGCUCUCAGGGACACCUACAGACUUCCUUACCCAUGUUCAAGUUGGCCCCUGGACUAAGUGACCUGUGGCUGACUUGAAAGAAACUCACCUUUGUAAACACUGUUCCGUGAAUUAUACCUAACUCUAGAAGAAGAAAUCAAACUUAAAAUGGAAGCCCAAACAGUCUCCUACUCGCCUGUAGAGAAGAGUGGAAAUUCUUCUGUUCACGAUUCAUGAGAGAGAAGGCCAGAGGAUGCAGGGAGACCAGUGUGGACAGCUCGGGCUUGAGUGGGCCUGUGUGCCCUUGCAAACCUGGGAACUCGUAGGAGAUGCCUCCCCCCAUCUGCCUCCAUUUGCUUUUUGCUUCUCUCUUUUCUCUAUCCACCCCCACAAACACAUGCACCCAUCAGAGGAAAGAGGCUAUUUCUGGCUUGCUAGCAAAGACAGAAAUCACACCCAGACAUAAAAAAACUGGGAGAGGAUACCUCUGAGAGAGAGGAUCACAUUUUUAAAUAGCUGAGUUGAAGACCCUUCAGAAAAAAAGAGACCUUUUGUGACAUUUGGCUCUUCCCUUUUCAUUGACUUGUUUUGCUUCAAUGGUUAAAAUUCUUCUGACAUUCUGUCAUUAGC
Long non-coding RNA from Bos taurus (domestic cattle), 1115 nucleotides. Lineage: Eukaryota; Metazoa; Chordata; Mammalia; Artiodactyla; Bovidae. The record is from Ensembl.